CUAUCCUAGAAAUUAAAGUAUAAUAAAACAUAUAUAUAUUUAAAAUAAAAAUAAAAAGUAAAAUCUUAAUGUGAUCGAGUGAUUUUCCCUAAGACAUACACUUCACAGGGAACAGCAUAAGACAAUGCAAGGAAAGAGACAGAGAGACACAGAGAGAGAGAGAGAGAGAAAUGAGAGAAUGACCUUAUUCAUGAGAACAAUAUAAAAUACCUAAGAUCAAAUAGCAAGAAAUGCACAGGAUUCAGUUGAAGAAGAAUGAUCAAACUUUGAUGCAGAAUAUGCACUGAAAUGUAUAUACAUGUAAAUUUUUGCACAGGAAAUUGCAAUAUUCAAAUAGGACUAAUUUUCCAGGUGUUCUGGUGAAAAUUGCACCACAGUCCCCUCUUCAUGUCUGAUUUCAGCUUUGCUCAUUCACAAACUCUUAUUUUUCUAUUUGUCAUUCCAUUUCCACAGUUUUGUUGUUUAUUGUCAUCUCUUCUUUCAUUCUCUUCAUCCUUGGGUAUUAAUUUCCUCUGUGCUUCUUUAUUUUAAUUUUACUGGGACAUUAGGAAAGAGCAGAAAUCAGUCCAUGUUUAUGUGUUCAAUGCAUUGUGCAUUCCAAUACCCUUAGUAGAGAGACAAAUUCCUUAUCACAGUCUAUAGCAGGUUCUACAGAUGAUCUUUCUGUUUAUGUCUCUUUCUAUUUAAGUGUAUUCAAGUGACUUUACAAGGCAGACUGCUAUUACCUGUGUUCCUAAUUUUAUCGGAAGAAUCUGCUGCUGUCUUUUCUUCCCUGGCUGCAUUAGAUGUAACAGGACCAUGAGUUGAUAAUCACAUGGUUAUUUUUUACAAUGUUAUUGAAUAAACAUCUAGCAACAAUUUUAAAUGAUGAAUACAUUUUUAUACUCUAAUAGUCUAACAAAUAUAAUUUUUUAAUAACAAAUGUCCAUUGUUUCAAGUCUGUUACUUAUCCACCUUUAGAACUGCCAAAGCAAAUCUCUCCAUACUAUUAAAAGAAUCUUUUGUGCCUUUUAGUAAGCAGACAUCAUCAGAAACAGAAGUUUAUGAUAUGAUACAUAAAGAGUUUGAAUUUAUCUCACAUUUUUACUAACCUUAUUUUUUAGCUAAACUUGGUCUAUAUUCACAUUUUCUUGACUGAAAUAUGCCUUUGUACAUUUUUAUUGAGCAAUUAAAGGCUCAUUUAACCAGUCAUCCUAACAACAUGGACAUAUGGCUUUUGUCAGAUUGGAAUGAUCUACAAAGCUUAUGAGGCUUGACCUUUGGGGUCUUUCAUGUGCACAGGCCCUUUUCAAGACCCUGUUUUGAGUGAACAGAAUAAAAAGAGAUGUAAAAGCUUCAGGAACUAGCAGUGGUCUUCUUUAUGCCAACUCCUUUACUCAAGCCUUUAUGUAUUUUUCUGUCUUCCACUGACCCAUGGGGACCAUAAGAUUUCAAGAACUUCUCCUCCCUAAAACAAACUCCAAUCAUUUGAGGGAUAUCUGAUUUUUUUUCUGAAAAGAAGACUUGAGAAUACCUAUAGAAGCAAGUUUCUAAAUAAUCUGAUUUUUAUGUCUACAAAUAAUAGCUAUCUUCCAGCACUGCUGUAAAUGUAAUGUGGGAUUGCAGAUUGUACAUGGAAGAAUCUGAAAAAUGUACUUUAGUGGCUAAACUGAAGGGCCUAUUGAUAUGAGGUAUGGCUUUAAAUUCUUGCUCUUCUACUAGUUUUUCCUCUGCAGAACAUACUCCCUGCAGAAUGGUGCCUUCCCUUAGUAUUUGUAGUGUUUCUACCUCUCAGCAUGGAACAAAUGGUCAAUGUUAGCAAUGGGUUCUUUCCUUUACAACUCACGAUGUGGUAAGGAAAAUUCUCAUGUUUGUUUCUGUCUUUUCACCUUUGCAUUCAUAAUAUAAUCAUCUUAAAUACAUAUCUACAGGCACUUAGCACCACAGUAAGUUUUAUAAUUUUUGCUUCAACACAAAUGUAUUGUCUUUCAGUUUUGCAGCUCAGAAAUCAGUACUGGGUCUCACUGGGUUGAGUCCAUGUGUCAUGGAUGGAAUUCCUUUCUGGAGGUUCUAGAGAAGAAUCUCAUUUUCUUGCCACAUUACCUGUCUUUCUUCCAUCUUCAAAGCUAGCAAUACCAGUUGAGCCUUUUGAAACUCAUGCAGAAAACUUGAGAAGAAAAGGAAGAUAUUUUUGUUAAUUUACUUUUUUCUCACUUUGUUUCUUUUAUUCUACAUUCUUGAAUUUCCAGAAAUUCCUUUUCUAUCCUUUCUUUUAGUUGAGAAAGUUCCAUCGAGCCAUUUUUAAAAGAUUAGUUUGUUGGAAACAAAUUCUUUUAGGUUUCCUUCUUUUCUUUCUUCUGAGAAUACCUGAAUUUCCUUUUUAUUAUGGAAGGACAGUUUUAUUGGACAUAAACAUCUGGUUUGCAAUUUUUUUUCCUUCAGCACUUUAAAUAUUUGAGUUACAUUCUUCUUCAUUUCCUGGUUUCUGAUAUUAACUCUAUGGUUAUCCACAUUGUGUUUUUCCUAUAAUUAUGAUGCCAUUUCUUGCUUGCUUUUUAAAAAAUAUUUUAUUUGUUUUAUUUUUCAGAAAUUUGACUAUGGUGUUGCUGGGCAUGUGUUUCCUUGUGUAUAUUAUGAUUGGAAUUUUCCCACCUUCUUGCAUUUGAACCGCAGAGUUUAACAUUUGUUUCUUAGAUGCUAUCCCCGUAGCCAGGCAGCCCUGCUGUCUUCUGACUGGGGAUUUACAGAAUGCAGGAAAAUGAGGCAGAGGUAGAAAGAGUGACUAUACACCUAGCAUGCUGGCUCAUGACUGUAAUCCCACUACUUUUGGAGGCUGAGGUUGGAGGACUAUUGAUGCCAGGAAUUCAAGAUCAGCCUGAGCAAUGCAGUGAGACGUCCCCAUGUAUAUAAGAAAAUGUACAAAAUCAACCUUGCAUGGUGAUUGGCACCUGUAGUCCCAUCUAAUUCAGAAGGUGAUCUGGAAGAAUUGUUUGAUCCCAGGAGUUCAAGACUGCAGUGAGCCAUGAUUGCACCACUGUACUCCAGCUUAAGAGACAGAGCAAGUCCCUGUCUCUAAAAAGAAAUAAUACUAAUAAUAACAUUAAUAAUAAUAAAUGACUGCUGCAACUGAAAAGGUUUUUUUCCCCCACCUUGGCUUCUAGCCCCAGGGUCUACUUCCUUUCAAAUGCAUCUCCAAUGUCUAUGGAUUCUACAGACUUGCAGUCUCUUCCUUUCUUUCCCCUCAUGUGCCACUGUGGCUCUAUCCUGUAUCCUCAGCAAGCCUUCCCACACUCCGACAAAAUCAAGUACAAUGGUGAACUGAGCAAGUAUGGGCAAUAGAGCUAUAAAUAUUUAUGUUUCUACCCUCCUUGAUAUUUUUACAAUAUUUGGAGAUGGGUAUGUAGGGCCUUUAGUCCUUCUUGGGCCAGGGUCAUCUCAGCCUUAAAGGAACUGAAAUCAGAGUAGAGGAAAAGAAGUGAUAAGACAGAUGUGAACAAAGCAUCUUCAUGCAAGUAAGCAAGAUACAUUUACUGGCUAAUUCAAGCAUUGUAACCGCAGCCUAAGACUCAAAUGAAUAAACACUGAAUUUGAAGUCCCCCCAAAGGUGUGCAACAGCUUUGGGGGAUUUUUAACACUUUACCUCCUGUUAUCUGUGGAAUGGAGCAAAAACUAAGUGUUACAUGGGAAGUUGGUUUCAAUUAUACCACCUGGUACUCAGUUUACAACCAUUUCCUAAUCCUACUUCUUAAUGAGCUAUAUAAAAGGAAAAGAUUUAUUGACCACUUGUCAUACAUUUUGGUCAAUGUGCCAGCUAUUGAUAUGUGUUUUUUACAUUAUUAACUGAAGAAAAAUGAAUGCCUUUUACAAAUGUUAUAAGAUUACAAAACAAAAAGAAAUCCAAAGGAAACAAAUUAGGGUUGUAAUGUGCAAGCCUAAUGAUUUUCCAUCAGAACUCUCAUAUAAUUGCCCUGUUUGAUAAGAUAAAUGAGCAGGAGCAAGGUUGUGGUGAAGGACUCUGCUGAAGCUUUCCCAGGGAUUCCUAUACUAAAGCUUUGGCUUUCUCAAAGUAUUCUCAGAAUAAGCAGUUAUUGUCAUUCUCCAGAAAGUCAACCAGCAAAAUGACUUGAGCUUUCCAAUAAACUCUUGCCAUGA
RNAcentral lists this long non-coding RNA (4131 nucleotides) under Homo sapiens (human). RNAcentral's name for it is "HSALNT0366786". The record is from RNAcentral. Lineage: Eukaryota; Metazoa; Chordata; Mammalia; Primates; Hominidae.